Non-coding RNA from Pelecanus crispus (Dalmatian pelican), 46 nucleotides. The record is from Rfam. Lineage: Eukaryota; Metazoa; Chordata; Aves; Pelecaniformes; Pelecanidae.
ACUGAGGCUUUUUUUAAAGCCAUAAAACUCACUUAUUUGUAUAUAA